GAUGAAGAACGUAGCGAAAUGCGAUAAGUAAUGUGAAUUGCAGAAUUCAGUGAAUCAUCGAAUCUUUGAACGCACAUUGCGCCCGCCAGUAUUCUGGCGGGCAUGCCUGUUCGAGCGUCAUUUCAACCAUCAAGCCCCAGGCUUGUGUUGGGGGCCUGCAGCUGCUGCAGCCCCCUAAAAGCAGUGGCGGACUCGCUGUCAUACCGAGCGCAGUAGUUACAUCUCGCUCUGGGCAUGGCGGCGGGCACCUGCCGUAAAACACUCUUUCUAAGGUUGACCUCGGAUCAGGUAGGAAUACCCGCUGAACUUAAGCAUAUCAAUAACCGGAGGA
Molecule: unclassified non-coding RNA, 331 nt
Filed under: soil metagenome
Description: partial contains 5.8S ribosomal RNA, internal transcribed spacer 2, and large subunit ribosomal RNA
Rfam family: 5.8S ribosomal RNA (bases 1-120)
Source: RNAcentral